GACGAACGCUGGCGGCGUGCCUAAUACAUGCAAGUAGAACGCUGAAGGAGGAGCUUGCUCUUCUGGAUGAGUUGCGAACGGGUGAGUAACGCGUAGGUAACCUGCCUGGUAGCGGGGGAUAACUAUUGGAAACGAUAGCUAAUACCGCAUAACAGUAGAUGUUGCAUGACAUUUACUUAAAAGGUGCAAUUGCAUCACUACCAGAUGGACCUGCGUUGUAUUAGCUAGUUGGUGGGGUAACGGCUCACCAAGGCGACGAUACAUAGCCGACCUGAGAGGGUGAUCGGCCACACUGGGACUGAGACACGGCCCAGACUCCUACGGGAGGCAGCAGUAGGGAAUCUUCGGCAAUGGACGGAAGUCUGACCGAGCAACGCCGCGUGAGUGAAGAGGGGUUUCGGAUCGUAAAGCUCUGUUGUAAGAGAAGAACGAGUGUGAGAGUGGAAAGUUCACACUGUGACGGUAUCUUACCAGAAAGGGACGGCUAACUACGUG
This 495-nucleotide ribosomal RNA is filed under the name uncultured bacterium. RNAcentral describes it as "partial 16S ribosomal RNA". It matches the Rfam family "Bacterial small subunit ribosomal RNA", at positions 28 to 507 of the family's 1533-position model. The record is from RNAcentral.